CGCGUAGGUGGUUUGUUAAGUUGGAUGUGAAAGCCCCGGGCUCAACCUGGGAACUGCAUCCAAAACUGGCAAGCUAGAGUACGGUAGAGGGUGGUGGAAUUUCCUGUGUAGCGGUGAAAUGCGUAGAUAUAGGAAGGAACACCAGUGGCGUAGGCGACCACCUGGACUGAUACUGACGCUGAGACGCGAAAGCGUGGGUAGCAAACA
Molecule: ribosomal RNA, 207 nt
Filed under: uncultured bacterium
Lineage: Bacteria
Description: partial 16S ribosomal RNA
Rfam family: Bacterial small subunit ribosomal RNA
Source: RNAcentral